This 425-nucleotide unclassified non-coding RNA is filed under the name fungal sp. Its description in RNAcentral is "partial internal transcribed spacer region". The stretch from base 1 to 46 matches the Rfam family "Eukaryotic small subunit ribosomal RNA", at positions 1786 to 1831 of the family's 1831-position model. Lineage: Eukaryota; Fungi. The record is from RNAcentral.
AAGUCGUAACAAGGUUUCCGUAGGUGAACCUGCGGAAGGAUCAUUAACACGUAUCCAAACGUUAAACAACCCCGUGAACAUACAACCUGCUCUGGUCGCCCGCUCGCAUGGACAAGCCCAGUAAAUCAAGCCCCGGAAAGUUUUUGAUUUGGGACCUCUGUGCGCGUGAGAAAAACUGACAGCGAUUCAUAGAAGCGGUAGGUCAAGUGACACGGCGUCCCCAAGUGACCAGUGAAUGAAAGUGUCGCUGGAGCGUCAAGGACGACUCUUCAAGAUUGCUAGAGGUCGACCACCGACCGGCUUCCGUGUAUACCGAGCUAACACCGCUCCCUUCCGAACAGAACCAAGAUAUCCAUUGUUAACAGUUGUUCGGGGGGCCUGCCCAUCCGUAUGGAUGCUUACAGGCAAGGCAAUAAAGUGGGGUC